CGGGGUGUAGCGCAGUCUGGUAGCGCACCUGCCUUGGGCGCAGGGGGCCGGAGGUUCGAAUCCUCUCACCCCGACCA
RNAcentral lists this transfer RNA (77 nucleotides) under Desulfuromonas sp. RNAcentral describes it as "tRNA-Pro". It matches the Rfam family "tRNA". From Rfam's summary of the family: Transfer RNA (tRNA) molecules are approximately 80 nucleotides in length. Their secondary structure includes four short double-helical elements and three loops (D, anti-codon, and T loops). The record is from RNAcentral. RNAcentral also lists the same sequence under 2 other names. Lineage: Bacteria; Pseudomonadati; Thermodesulfobacteriota; Desulfuromonadia; Desulfuromonadales; Desulfuromonadaceae.